CCCUUCCAGCAAUCAAGGUUGGGGAUGAAGUCCGGCUCCCGUAGGAGUCCGGACGAAGUCUACCUGCAGCUGGAGUCGGAGAUGAGAUCCGGCUCCUGUUGGAGUCUGAUCGAAGUCUACCUGCAAUUAAAGUCAGGGAUAGAGUCUGGCUCUCUUAGGAGUUCAGACGAAGCUUACCAGCAGUCAAGGUCGAGGACGAAGCCCAGCUCCCGUGGGAGUCCGGGCGAAGCCUUCCAGCAAUCGAGGUUGGGGAUGAAGUCCGACUUCCGUAGGAGUCCGGACGAAGUUUGCCGUUGGUGAAGUUCAGGCAUUGGCGAGGUCCGAGAUAGUUCGGAUUAGAGUUGAACCUGGCUGGAAGGAGUCUGGAAGAAAUUCGGGGAGCAGCCGGCGGUCGUAGAGGAUUGGCUGCCGGCAUAGCUCAAUGAGUGCUUGGGGUGGCUUGAUAGAUGACCGGGGGGACUCAUGUUGAAGGAGUUCGGGUGGUGCAGGGGGAGUUCGUCCGUCGGGGGAAUUCAGUCGGCACUGUAGAAAUCCGGCUGUUGGAGAAGUCCGGAGAGAUACCAUCUGCCAUCGAGGGCCGAAGGAAUCCUGGGAGGGUCAAUCCUGGUAAGAACUUCGGCUGAGGGUAUUUUAUACCCAACAGUCAAAAAUUAUGUCACGUGAUAGCUAUAUUA
This 674-nucleotide long non-coding RNA is filed under the name Elaeis guineensis (African oil palm). RNAcentral's name for it is "long non-coding RNA (EGUI_LNC065202)". The record is from RNAcentral. Lineage: Eukaryota; Viridiplantae; Streptophyta; Magnoliopsida; Arecales; Arecaceae.